Long non-coding RNA from Protobothrops mucrosquamatus (brown spotted pit viper), 355 nucleotides. RefSeq lists it as uncharacterized. The transcript has 3 exons. The record is from RefSeq and is a predicted model, not a curated record. Lineage: Eukaryota; Metazoa; Chordata; Lepidosauria; Squamata; Viperidae.
CAACGGAGCAGUGCAGCAGUAGCGGCCAGUAGCACUGAAGCAGCCACAGCUUUCCCAAAUGUCAUUCCCUAAAGAGUCAUGGGUCCUGGAUUUUUAUUUUUUUAUUUGCUAAAUUGGACACCUGCUUUUCCUCUUAUUGAAAUUUAACUUGGAGAAUUCCCAGCUAAAGAUACUAAAGGAAUCAAGGACAGAAUUUACCAGUGCAGUGAAGAUCAAGCGUUUUCCAGGCCAGACCCAAACCAAUAAUCUACAUUUUAGGAAAGAGCAACUUUGAAGUGCCAAGGAUGACCGUUGGAUUUCUGAAUGCAAAGUAGUUUGUGAGCAUGUUAAUUGCAACCAUUACUACAAUAAAGCA